CAUGUAGGUGGACCAGUUAGUCUGUUGUGAAAGUCAAAGGCUCAACCUUUGAAAGCCGAUGGAUACUGUUGGUCUAGAGUACGGAAGAGGCGAGUGGAAUUCCCGGUGUAGCGGUGGAAUGCGCAGAUAUCAGGAGGAACACCAAUAGUGAAGGCAGCUCGCUGGGACGUUACUGACACUGAGAUGCGAAAGCGUAGGAAGCAAACA
RNAcentral lists this ribosomal RNA (207 nucleotides) under uncultured bacterium. RNAcentral's name for it is "partial 16S ribosomal RNA". It matches the Rfam family "Bacterial small subunit ribosomal RNA", at positions 568 to 774 of the family's 1533-position model. The record is from RNAcentral.